CGAGUACGACCCGUUACGACGGGGAAGUGUCUGAUGUCAGGCUUCCAAGAAAAGCCCGAACCACGUUAAUUCAAAUUGGCCCGUACCCUAAACCGACACAGGUGGGAAGGUAGAGUAUACCCAGGGGCGCGAGAUAACUCUCUCUAAGGAACUCGGCAAAAUGGCCCCGUAACUUCGGGAGAAGGGGUGCCACCGAGAGGUGGUCGCAGUGAAGAGUCCCAGGCGACUGUUUACCAAAAACACAGGUCUCCGCUAAGUCGCAAGACGAUGUAUGGGGGCUGACGCCUGCCCAGUGCCGGAAGGUUAAGGAAGUUGGUCAGGGAGCAAUCCUGAAGCUAGCGACUGAAGCCCCGGUGAACGGCGGCCGUAACUAUAACGGUCCUAAGGUAGCGAAAUUCCUUGUCGGGUAAGUUCCGACCCGCACGAAAGGCGUAACGAUCUGGGAGCUGUCUCGGAGAGAGGCUCGGCGAAAUAGGAAUGUCUGUGAAGAUACGGACUACCUGCACCCGGACAGAAAGACCCUAUGAAGCUUUACUGUAGCUUGGUAUUGGGUUCGGGCUUUGAUUGCGCAGGAUAGGUGGGAGACUAUGAGAUAGCUCUUGUGGGAGUUAUGGAGUCACUGGUGAGAUACCACUCUAUCAAGGCUAGAAUUCUAACUUUGACCCGUUAUCCGGGCAGAGAACAGUAUCAGGUGGGCAGUUUGACUGGGGCGGUCGCCUCCUAAAUGGUACGGAGGCGCGCAAAGGUUCCCUCAGGCUGGUUGGAAAUCAGCCAUUGAGUGUAAAGGCAUAAGGGAGCUUGACUGCGAGACUGACAAGUCGAGCAGGUACGAAAGUAGGCCUUAGUGAUCCGACGGUUCCGCGUGGAAGGGCCGUCGCUCAACGGAUAAAAGUUACUCUAAGGAUAACAGGCUGAUCUCCCCCAAGAGUUCACAUCGACGGGGAGGUUUGGCACCUCGAUGUCGGCUCAUCGCAACCUGGGGCUGUAGUCGGUCCCAAGGGUUGGGCUGUUCGCCCAUUAAAGCGGUACGUGAGCUGGGUUCAGAACGUCGUGAGACAGUUCGGUCCAUAUCCGGUGCAGGCGUAGGAACAUUGAGAGGAGUCUUCCUUAGUACGAGAGGACCGGGAAGAACGCACCGCUGGUGUACCUGUUAUCGUGCCAACGGUAAACGCAGGGUAGCCAAGUGCGGAGAGGAUAACCGCUGAAAGCAUCUAAGUGGGAAGCCCACCUCAAGAUGAGUGUUCCCAUGGCAAAAGCCAGUAAGGUCACGGGUAGACCACCCGUUAAUAGGCGCUAGAUGGAAGUCCAGCAAUGGAUGUAGUCGAGGCGUACUAACAGACCGAGGGCUUGAC
Molecule: ribosomal RNA, 1352 nt
Filed under: metagenome
Description: bacterial LSU rRNA
Rfam family: Bacterial large subunit ribosomal RNA
Source: RNAcentral